UGGGGAAUAUUGCACAAUGGGCGAAAGCCUGAUGCAGCGACGCCGCGUGCGGGAUGAAGGCCUUCGGGUUGUAAACCGCUUUUAAUUGGGAGCAAGCGAGAGUGAGUGUACCUUUUGAAUAAGCACCGGCUAACUACGUGCCAGCAGCCGCGGUAAUACGUAGGGUGCAAGCGUUAUCCGGAAUUAUUGGGCGUAAAGAGCUCGUAGGCGGUUUGUCACGCCUGGUGUGAAAGUCCAUCGCUUAACGGUGGAUCUGCGCCGGGUACGGGCAGGCUAGAGUGCAGUAGGGGAGAUUGGAAUUCCCGGUGUAACGGUGGAAUGUGUAGAUAUCGGGAAGAACACCAAUGGCGAAGGCAGAUCUCUGGGCUGUUACUGACGCUGAGGAGCGAAAGCAUGGGGAGCGAACAGGAUUAGAUACCCUGGUAGUCCAUGCCGUAAACGGUGGAUGCUGGAUGUGGGACCCUUCCACGGGUUCCGUGUCGGAGCUAACGCGUUAAGCAUCCCGCCUGGGGAGUACGGCCGCAAGGCUAAAAC
RNAcentral lists this ribosomal RNA (534 nucleotides) under uncultured bacterium. RNAcentral describes it as "partial 16S ribosomal RNA". It matches the Rfam family "Bacterial small subunit ribosomal RNA", at positions 355 to 900 of the family's 1533-position model. The record is from RNAcentral.